This 250-nucleotide ribosomal RNA is filed under the name uncultured prokaryote. RNAcentral describes it as "partial 16S ribosomal RNA". It matches the Rfam family "Bacterial small subunit ribosomal RNA", at positions 524 to 773 of the family's 1533-position model. The record is from RNAcentral.
UACGGAGGAUGCAAGCGUUAUCCGGAUUUAUUGGGUUUAAAGGGUGCGUAGGCUGUGUGCCAAGUCAGGGGUGAAAUACCCGGGCUCAACCCGGGAACUGCCUUUGAUACUGGCAGACUGGAAUACUGUUGCCGUGGGAGGAAUGAGUAGUGUAGCGGUGAAAUGCAUAGAUAUUACUCAGAACACCGAUUGCGAAGGCAUCUCACGAAACAGCGAUUGACGCUGAGGCACGAAAGCGUGGGGAUCAAAC